AUUUGGAACUUACCCAGCCAAUGCAGGGAAGACAAUGGAAGGGAACUGCUAUUAGUCUAGGACAGGGUUUCUCAGCCUCACACUCCGACAUUUGAGCUGGAUAAUGUUGUAGGGGCUGUCCUGUGCAUUAAAGGAUGUUUAGCCAGCAUCCCCAGUUUCUACCCACUAGAUUCCAGUAGCACUCCCCACCUCCAGUUGUAAUAAUAAAAAAAGUCUCUAGACAUUGCCAAAUGUCCCCGGGGUCAAAAUCAGCUGUUGAGAAUCAACCACUGGUCUAGGGCAGUGGCUUAUUGACACCCUAUGUGGGACAAUUCUA
This 316-nucleotide long non-coding RNA is filed under the name Homo sapiens (human). Its description in RNAcentral is "LHRI_LNC2071.1". Lineage: Eukaryota; Metazoa; Chordata; Mammalia; Primates; Hominidae. The record is from RNAcentral.